AAAUCUUCACAUUCCUUCCUUGAAUGAUCUAUGCUAUUAUAUCAUAUGCACCUAUAUACUACACCCUCCAUUGGCCCUAAUCUUUGUUUUAUUGAUACUCUGGAUGAUUGAUCCUUCUCUUCAAGUUUUGCAAAUUUUAUUUGCAAAUCUCUCAUCUCACGUAUGAUUUCAUUGAUGUCCAAUUCUUCUUUCUUUGAUGUAGUUAUUGAAGGUUGAAUCAAAGAUGUUGGAUGGGUAAUAGACAUCUUUACUUUUGAUAUAGUUAUUGAAGGUUGAAUCAAAGAUGUUGGAUGGGUACUAGACAUCUUUACUUUUGA
This 317-nucleotide long non-coding RNA is filed under the name Physcomitrium patens. Its description in RNAcentral is "long non-coding RNA (PPAT_LNC005428)". Lineage: Eukaryota; Viridiplantae; Streptophyta; Bryopsida; Funariales; Funariaceae. The record is from RNAcentral.